UACGUAGGGCGCAAGCGUUAUCCGGAAUUAUUGGGCGUAAAGAGCUCGUAGGCGGUUUGUCGCGUCUGCCGUGAAAAUCCGGGGCUCAACCCCGGACUUGCAGUGGGUACGGGCAGACUAGAGUGUGGUAGGGGAGACUGGAAUUCCUGGUGUAGCGGUGGAAUGCGCAGAUAUCAGGAGGAACACCGAUGGCGAAGGCAGGUCUCUGGGCCACUACUGACGCUGAGAAGCGAAAGCAUGGGGAGCGAACAGG
Molecule: ribosomal RNA, 253 nt
Filed under: uncultured bacterium
Lineage: Bacteria
Description: partial 16S ribosomal RNA
Rfam family: Bacterial small subunit ribosomal RNA
Source: RNAcentral